Molecule: non-coding RNA, 1086 nt
Organism: Tetranychus urticae (two-spotted spider mite)
Lineage: Eukaryota; Metazoa; Arthropoda; Arachnida; Trombidiformes; Tetranychidae
Source: RefSeq, a predicted model, not a curated record
UCAAAGCAAUCUUAUCCUCUUUCAAAUCGUAGAUCAGAAGAGAUAGAUUCUCAUAAUUGAAAAAACAAAAUAUUUCUUAAAAUAAAUUUCAGCAAACCAAUGGAUCUGUUAUGAGCGCCCUCUGUUAUUCUGUACACCCACUUUUACUAGGCUUGCUUGAGAGAUCAAAAUAAAACUUCCAGCUAACUGGUAAAAAUGGGAAAUCGUAUCUUUUGUGGUUAACAAACCUUGUGCAGUUAAUGUAAAUCAUUGUAAUUUAAUUGUUCAAUUUACCUCUUGAUGAGUUGAAUUAACGCUUAAAGAGGAUAUUAACCUUGUGGUGAUCUAUCAAUCAAACAUAUUGUCAGUUAAAAAACAUUUUUUUUCAACUUUAACCUGUUGUCUGUUUCAGAUGUUCAUAUUUUGUGCGCUUUUCACUGUUACAAUGAGCUUUCUCAAUGCGUCAAUGUUUCAAAGAGAUUUGAUAAUUAUUUGUUAAUCAAUUUAUAAUCAUUAUCAUUUUCUUUCAUUGAACAGAUUGUCGCCUUUGGAUUUACAGUCAUCAUAUUUACAGUAAAAUAAAGCGUAAAAUAAUCAACGAUGAAGCAAGUUAUGGGCGUUUGACUGGCUUUGUUCGCCCUGGUAAACCAGGUUUCAUUUGCGUUGAAGGAUUUGAAGAUAACUGUGAAGCCUUCUGGAGGAAAAUUAGAAGCUUGACUUGGCAAAAGAUUAGCUUGAUUAUCAAAGAGUAUCCGAUCAAUGGGUCAAUCUAUGAAAAAUUUGAAGACAUACCAUUGGAUAAUUCAUCUUUCAUCCGAUAUUUGGAGCAACAUGGAGGCAGUCAUGUAAUAAAAGAUUAUCUUGGACUUUCGAAUUAAAUUUUAUAGCAAAGUAUAUGACUUUUACUGAAAUUACAAUUAUUCAAUAUGACAAAUGUGAGUUCAAUCGGGUUUAAAAAGUAGCUCAGUACUACAAAAUUCCGAUGAUGUUUUGUCACCUGAAAUUAAUGUGCCGAAAAUAAGUAAACUAAAAGCAUGGUGGAUUAGUGUAGAACCCGUUAUUAUUUGUAUUUAUGAUCAAAAUAAAUUGUCCUUUUGCUAGAUUUGA